GAUUAUGGCUCAGGAUGAACGCUAGCUACAGGCUUAACACAUGCAAGUCGAGGGGCAGCAUGGGGUAGCAAUACUCAGAUGGCGACCGGCGCACGGGUGAGUAACACGUAUCCAACCUGCCGCUUACUCGGGGAUAGCCUUUCGAAAGAAAGAUUAAUACCCGAUGGUAUAAAGAGUUCGCAUGUUCUCUUUAUUAAAGAAUUUCGGUAAGCGAUGGGGAUGCGUUCCAUUAGAUAGUUGGCGGGGUAACGGCCCACCAAGUCUACGAUGGAUAGGGGUUCUGAGAGGAAGGUCCCCCACAUUGGAACUGAGACACGGUCCAAACUCCUACGGGAGGCAGCAGUGAGGAAUAUUGGUCAAUGGACGAGAGUCUGAACCAGCCAAAGUAGCGUGAAGGAUGACUGCCCUAUGGGUUGUAAACUUCUUUUAUAAGGGAAUAAAGUGAGGGACGUGUCCCUUUUCGUAUGUACCUUAUGAAUAAGGAUCGGCUAACUCCGUGCCAGCCGCGGC
RNAcentral lists this ribosomal RNA (510 nucleotides) under uncultured bacterium. RNAcentral's name for it is "bacterial SSU rRNA". It matches the Rfam family "Bacterial small subunit ribosomal RNA", at positions 15 to 518 of the family's 1533-position model. The record is from RNAcentral.